AUUGAACGCUGGCGGCAGGCCUAACACAUGCAAGUCGGACGGUAGCACAGAGAGCUUGCUCUCGGGUGACGAGUGGCGGACGGGUGAGUAAUGUCUGGGGAUUUGCCCGAUAGAGGGGGAUAACCACUGGAAACGGUGGCUAAUACCGCAAAACGUCGCAAGACCAAAGAGGGGGACCUUCGGGACUCUUACUACCGGAUGAACCCAGAUGGGAUUAGCUAGUAGGCGGGGUAACGGCACACCUAGGCGACGAUCCCUAGACUGGUCUGAGAGGAUGACCAGCCACACUGGAACUGAGACACGGUUCAGACUCCUACGGGAGGCAGCAGUGGGGAAUAUUGCACAAUGGGCGCAAGCCUGAUGCAGCCAUGCCGCGUGUAUGAAGAAGGCCUUCGGGUUGUAAAGUACUUUCAGCGGGGAGGAAGGCGAUAAGGUUAAUAACCUUGUCGAUUGACGUUACCCGCAGAAGAAGCACCGGCUAACUCCGUGCCAGCAGCCGCUGUAA
This 505-nucleotide ribosomal RNA is filed under the name uncultured bacterium. Its description in RNAcentral is "partial 16S ribosomal RNA". It matches the Rfam family "Bacterial small subunit ribosomal RNA", at positions 30 to 523 of the family's 1533-position model. The record is from RNAcentral.